RNAcentral lists this ribosomal RNA (465 nucleotides) under uncultured bacterium. Its description in RNAcentral is "partial 16S ribosomal RNA". It matches the Rfam family "Bacterial small subunit ribosomal RNA", at positions 338 to 795 of the family's 1533-position model. The record is from RNAcentral.
CCUACGGGAGGCAGCAGUGGGGAAUAUUGCGCAAUGGGCGAAAGCCUGACGCAGCGACGCCGCGUGAGGGAUGAAGGUCUUCGGAUCGUAAACCUCUGUCAGCAGGGAAGAACGGUCACUGUGCUAAUCAGCAGUGAAUUGACGGUACCUGCAAAGGAAGCACCGGCUAACUCCGUGCCAGCAGCCGCGGUAAUACGGAGGGUGCGAGCGUUAAUGGGAAUUACUGGGCGUAAAGCGCUCGUAGGCGGUAUGGCAAGUCAAGGGUGAAAUCCCCGCGCUCAACGUGGGAACUGCCUUUGAAACUGGCAAACUGGAGUGUGUGAGAGGAUAGUGGAAUUCCAGGUGUAGGAGUGAAAGCCGUAGAUAUCUGGAGGAACAUCAGUGGCGAAGGCGACUAUCUGGCACAUAACUGACGCUGAGGAGCGAAAGCGUGGGUAGCAAACAGGAUUAGAUACCCCAGUAGUC